GCAUUGGUGGUUCAGUGGUAGAAUUCUCGCCUGCCACGCGGGAGGACCGGGGUCGAUUCCCGGCCAAUUCA
RNAcentral lists this transfer RNA (71 nucleotides) under Phaethon lepturus (White-tailed tropicbird). It matches the Rfam family "tRNA". Rfam says of the family: Transfer RNA (tRNA) molecules are approximately 80 nucleotides in length. Their secondary structure includes four short double-helical elements and three loops (D, anti-codon, and T loops). The record is from Rfam by way of RNAcentral. Lineage: Eukaryota; Metazoa; Chordata; Aves; Phaethontiformes; Phaethontidae.